GAGGGUAUAGCUCUCUGGUAGAGCGUGUGCUUAGCAUGCAUGAGGUCCUGGGUUCAAUCCCCAGUACCUCCA
RNAcentral lists this transfer RNA (72 nucleotides) under Camelus bactrianus (Bactrian camel). It matches the Rfam family "tRNA". From Rfam's summary of the family: Transfer RNA (tRNA) molecules are approximately 80 nucleotides in length. Their secondary structure includes four short double-helical elements and three loops (D, anti-codon, and T loops). RNAcentral also lists the same sequence under 1 other name. The record is from Rfam by way of RNAcentral. Lineage: Eukaryota; Metazoa; Chordata; Mammalia; Artiodactyla; Camelidae.